CAUCUACUCCCUCCAUCCGAAAAUACUUGUCAUCAAAACGGAUAAAAAGGGAUGUAUCUAGAACUAAUAUACGUCUAGAUACAUCCCCUUCCAUUCAUUUUGAUGACAAGUAUUUCCGGACGGAGGGAGUACUUC
Molecule: non-coding RNA, 135 nt
Organism: Triticum aestivum (bread wheat)
Lineage: Eukaryota; Viridiplantae; Streptophyta; Magnoliopsida; Poales; Poaceae
Source: Rfam